This 89-nucleotide ribosomal RNA is filed under the name uncultured archaeon. RNAcentral's name for it is "partial 16S ribosomal RNA". The record is from RNAcentral.
CUCCCUCGUUGCUGAUCUCAGGUUCGAUAAUGCCAAUAUCGCGCCACCUCGCCUAAAACCAACUUCGAUGAAGCGACGGGCGGUGUGUG